GUUGUUGCGGUUAAAAAGCUCGUAGUUGGAUCUCGGCAGGUAGGGGGCGGUUCGUUUCUGACGGCACUGCCCCAUUUACCUGUGUUUUUGCAAGAGGUCUCAAGGUGGCUUUAAUCGGCUGUCUUGGAACGCUUGCAGUUUUACUUUGAAAAAAUUAGAGUGCUCAAAGCAGGCUACAAAGCUUGAAUAUUUGUGCAUGGAAUAAUGGAAUAGGAAGUCGUUUCUAUUUUUUUGGUUUUCGGAGAUUGACUUAAUGAUUAAUAGGGACAGCCGGGGGCAUUAGUACUCAGACGACAGAGGUGAAAU
RNAcentral lists this ribosomal RNA (306 nucleotides) under uncultured marine eukaryote. RNAcentral describes it as "partial 18S ribosomal RNA". It matches the Rfam family "Eukaryotic small subunit ribosomal RNA", at positions 609 to 917 of the family's 1831-position model. The record is from RNAcentral.